AGGUCACUGCUAUCGGGGUUCGAUUAAGCCAUGCGAGUCGAGAGGGUUCGGCCCUCGGCGUACUGCUCAGUAACACGUGGAUAACCUGCCCUAAGGAAGGGGAUAACCUCGGGAAACUGAGGAUAAUACCCUAUAGGAUACCGAUGCUGGAAUGCCCGGUAUCCCAAAGCUCCGGCGCCUUAGGAUGGAUCUGCGGCCGAUUAGGUCGUUGUUGGGGUAACGGCCCAACAAGCCGAUAAUCGGUACGGGUUGUGGGAGCAAGAGCCCGGAGUUGGAUUCUGAGACACGAAUCCAGGCCCUACGGGGCGCAGCAGGCGCGAAAACUUUACAAUGCGGGCAACCGUGAUAAGGGAACCUCGAGUGCCUGUACAUGCAGGCUGUCUGGGUGUCUAAAACACACCCAAAGAAAGGGCCGGGCAAGACCGGUGCCAGCCGCCGCGGUAAUACCGGCGGCUCGAGUGGUGGCCACUUUUAUUGGGCUUAAAGCGUUCGUAGCUGGGUUGUUAAGUCUCUUGGGAAAUCUGGCAGCUUAACUGUCAGGCGUCUAAGAGAUACUGGCAAUCUAGGAACCGGGAGAGGUGAGGGGUACUUCGGGGGUAGGAGUGAAAUCCUGUAAUCCUCGAGGGACCACCUGUGGCGAAGGCGCCUCACCAGAACGGCUUCGACAGUGAGGGACGAAAGCUGGGGGAGCAAACCGGAUUAGAUACCCGGGUAGUCCCAGCCGUAAACGAUGCGCGUUAGGUGUGUCGAUGACCACGAGUCAUCGAGGUGCCGAAGGGAAACCGUGAAACGCGCCGCCUGGGAAGUACGGUCGCAAGGCUGAAACUUAA
RNAcentral lists this ribosomal RNA (830 nucleotides) under uncultured archaeon. RNAcentral describes it as "bacterial SSU rRNA". It matches the Rfam family "Archaeal small subunit ribosomal RNA", at positions 21 to 859 of the family's 1478-position model. The record is from RNAcentral.